Molecule: ribosomal RNA, 465 nt
Filed under: Vreelandella stevensii
Lineage: Bacteria; Pseudomonadati; Pseudomonadota; Gammaproteobacteria; Oceanospirillales; Halomonadaceae
Description: partial 16S ribosomal RNA
Rfam family: Bacterial small subunit ribosomal RNA
Source: RNAcentral
CCUACGGGUGGCUGCAGUGGGGAAUAUUGGACAAUGGGGGGAACCCUGAUCCAGCCAUGCCGCGUGUGUGAAGAAGGCCCUCGGGUUGUAAAGCACUUUCAGUGAGGAAGAACGCCUGGUGGUUAAUACCCAUCAGGAAAGACAUCACUCACAGAAGAAGCACCGGCUAACUCCGUGCCAGCAGCCGCGGUAAUACGGAGGGUGCGAGCGUUAAUCGGAAUUACUGGGCGUAAAGCGCGCGUAGGUGGCUUGAUAAGCCGGUUGUGAAAGCCCCGGGCUCAACCUGGGAACGGCAUCCGGAACUGUCAAGCUAGAGUGCAGGAGAGGAAGGUAGAAUUCCCGGUGUAGCGGUGAAAUGCGUAGAGAUCGGGAGGAAUACCAGUGGCGAAGGCGACCUUCUGGACUGACACUGACACUGAGGUGCGAAAGCGUGGGUAGCAAACAGGAUUAGAUACCCUUGUAGUC